AAAGACCCCUCCCCUCACACUGGACCACUUUUACCUCAUUUCGGGACCCUUUUCCCUCACAUAAACCCCCCUCACCUCACACUAGGGCACUUUUCCCUCAUUUCGGGUCCCUUUUACCUCACAUAAACACCCCUCACCUCAGACCGGGACCCCUUUACCUCAUUCCGGGACAUUUUGCUUCAUUUAAAGACCCCUCCCCUCACACUGGACCACUUUUACCUCAUUUCGGGACCCUUUUCCCUCACAUAAACCCCCCUCACCUCACACUAGGGCACUUUUCCCUCAUUUCGGGUCCCUUUUACCUCACAUAAACACCCCUCACCUCAGACCGGGACCCCUUUACCUCAUUUCGGGACCCUUUUACCUCACAUAAACACCCCUCACCUCACACCGGGACCCCUUUACCUCAUUUUGGGACCCUUUUACCUCAUAAAGGACCCCUCACCUCAUUUUGGGACUUUUUGCUUCAUUUAAAGACCCCUCACCUCAAACUGAGGCACUUUUACCUCACGAAAGGACCCCUCACCUCAUUUCGGGACAUUUUGCUUCAUUUAAAGACCCCUCACCCCAAACCGGGCCACUUUUCCCUCAUUCCGGGGCCCUUUUCCCUCAUUUCGGGACCUUUUUACCUCAUUUCGGGACCCCACACCUCACACCGGGCCACUUUUACCUCAUUUUGGGACCCUUCCACCUCCUUUAACCCCCCUUUACCUCACGCCGGGCCCCUUUUACCUCAUUUUGGGCCCCUUUAUCUCAUUUUGCGACCCUUUCACCUCAUUUUGGGCCCCUUCCACCCCCCCACACCCCGCGUUUCCCCCUUU
This 821-nucleotide long non-coding RNA is filed under the name Anas zonorhyncha (Eastern spot-billed duck). RNAcentral describes it as "lncRNA (ENSAZOG00000012821.1)". Lineage: Eukaryota; Metazoa; Chordata; Aves; Anseriformes; Anatidae. The record is from RNAcentral.